RNAcentral lists this transfer RNA (77 nucleotides) under Desulfoluna butyratoxydans. Its description in RNAcentral is "tRNA-Pro". It matches the Rfam family "tRNA". From Rfam's summary of the family: Transfer RNA (tRNA) molecules are approximately 80 nucleotides in length. Their secondary structure includes four short double-helical elements and three loops (D, anti-codon, and T loops). RNAcentral also lists the same sequence under 4 other names. Lineage: Bacteria; Pseudomonadati; Thermodesulfobacteriota; Desulfobacteria; Desulfobacterales; Desulfolunaceae. The record is from RNAcentral.
CGGGAUGUGGCUCAGUCUGGUAGAGCACUGCGUUCGGGACGCAGGGGUCGGAGGUUCGAAUCCUCUCAUCCCGACCA